GUGGCCAGCGUGGAGGGAGACCCAGUCAUCAUGAAGAGCGACGGCUUCCCCACAUACCACCUGGCCUGCGUGGUAGACGACCACCACAUGGGCAUCAGCCACGUGCUGCGAGGCUCUGAGUGGCUCGUCUCCACUGCCAAGCACCUGCUCCUCUACCAGGCCCUGGGCUGGCAGCCACCCCACUUCGCCCACCUGCCCCUGCUCCUCAACAGAGAUGGCAGCAAGCUCUCCAAGAGGCAAGGGGACAUUUUCCUGGAGCACUUUGCUGCUGAUGGCUUCCUGCCCGAUUCCUUGUUGGACAUCAUCACCAACUGUGGCUCAGGUUUUGCAGAGAACCAAAUGGGCAGGACCCUGCCAGAGCUGAUCGCACAGUUCAACCUGACCCAGGUCACCUGUCACUCAGCCCUGCUGGACCUGGAGAAGCUCCCAGAAUUCAACAGGUGAGUGGGGAGCAUGGAGAUCCCCUGGUGGCAAAGGGCUUUCUUGCUUAUGACAGUCCCUACAGCAGAGGGUAUAAUGGGCUCUGGUACCUAAUUCUGUGUGACCAUGG
RNAcentral lists this small RNA (550 nucleotides) under Pongo abelii (Sumatran orangutan). RNAcentral's name for it is "retained intron". The record is from RNAcentral. Lineage: Eukaryota; Metazoa; Chordata; Mammalia; Primates; Hominidae.